Molecule: ribosomal RNA, 551 nt
Filed under: Macrophthalmus milloti
Lineage: Eukaryota; Metazoa; Arthropoda; Malacostraca; Decapoda; Macrophthalmidae
Description: partial 16S rRNA
Rfam family: Bacterial large subunit ribosomal RNA
Source: RNAcentral
GUCUUUUUGAAGAUAAAAAAAGUCAAGCCUGCCCCCUGAAUUAAUUUUUAAGGGCCGCGGUAUUUUGACCGUGCGAAGGUAGCGUAAUCAUUAGUUUUUUAAUUGAAAUCUUGUAUGAAUGGUUAGACAAAAGAAAAUCUGUCUCUUUAUUAAACAUUGAAUUUAACUUUUAAGUGAAAAGGCUUAAAUAAAUUAAAGGGACGAUAAGACCCUAUAAAGCUUAAUAUAAAAUACUAUUUAACUAAAUUUAUUUUAAUAAAAGUUUUAUAGUAUAGUUUAUUUUAUUGGGGUGAUAAGAGUAAAAUUUUUAUUAACUGCUUAAAAUAAUAAAACAUUUAUGGUUGAAAUAAAAAAAUAAAAGAUCCUAAUUAAAGAUUAAAAGUUUAAGUUACUUUAGGGAUAACAGCGUUAUUUUUUUUGAGAGCACAUAUCGAAAAAAGAGUUUGCGACCUCGAUGUUGAAUUAAAAUUUCUUUAUAGAUGUAGAAACUAUAAAAGUUGGUCUGUUCGACCUUUAAAAUUUUACAUGAUUUGAGUUCAAACCGGCGGAGC